AAAAGUGUGUAAAUUUGGUCUAACUUCUCAUCCAACUUAAAUUUUGUUUAUUACAGAAUAUUUAAAUAUUUGUAUUUCUGUUUAAUGUUGUACACAUAUGUUCUUCAAAAAAGUAAUGAGGCAAUUUAUAUAUUAUUCGUUUAAUGUAAGUUAUUUUUCUUUUUUUACAGAUAUUGCGGUACAAUAGAAAAGAAUCAAACAUUUUCGCACUUUUUCGAAAUGAAUUAAUUUUGUUGAAUUAUGAAUUUUGAUCCGUUCCCGUUUAAAACAUUCUAAAAUGCUAUAAUAAUGCGAAUAUUUAAAAAUAUUAAUUGUGAGUAAUACAGAGAGAUCGAUUGAAGAAUCUGCGAUUAGAAUUACGGAGGGUUUCUUACGAAAUCCUGUGUGGAGAAAGGGAGACCGUCUUCAUAUACGAAUAUAUUCCGAGGAACUUAUAUUGCAUUCCAUUUGUGGGGCGUGCUUUGCAGCCGGACU
Molecule: long non-coding RNA, 474 nt
Organism: Vollenhovia emeryi
Lineage: Eukaryota; Metazoa; Arthropoda; Insecta; Hymenoptera; Formicidae
Exons: 2
Source: RefSeq, a predicted model, not a curated record